Molecule: long non-coding RNA, 1679 nt
Organism: Macaca mulatta (Rhesus monkey)
Lineage: Eukaryota; Metazoa; Chordata; Mammalia; Primates; Cercopithecidae
Source: Ensembl
GCUCAGAUUACACCUUAUAAUUAUGUCUCUCCUGCUGAGGUAUCCCAAAAGGUGCAAUUAAAAGAUAACUAUACAGAAAAUAAUGCCUUAAUUUAGUAUUUAAAUAGAAUUACAAUGAUUCUGAGUAUCCAGAGAGUAGAUCUGUUUCUCAGUUCGCCCUCAUAGUCAUCUGCCCAGUGAAUGAUCCCUUUUUUGAACUAAAUUAUCAUGAUUGAGAGACACCCUUCAGAUAGAAUGACAUGGUCUCUUAGCUGCAACCAGAACUCAGAGAACCUCAAACUUUAUAUCAGAGACAUGAGAGGACUCUUACUUUUCUUUACUCCUUUUUCUUCAGAAUAAAUUUCCACCUUUGGAAGUAUUAGGAUAAGAUCUAAGUCUCAGAAUACAUUGAAUUAUGCUUGAUAUUUCAGUUUUUUUUUUUCUGGUACUAUGAUAAACUAUCAGAAAUUUAGUGAUUAAAAGCAACACAGGUGAUUAUCUUACAAGUUUAUACAACAGAAGUUCCCAACAGAUCUCAUUGGGCUAAAGAUGUUGAAGAGCUGUACUGUUUUUGGAGAAUCCAAAAUAAAACUGUUUUCCUUCUCUUUUCCAGCUUUCAGAGACCUUCCUCAUUCCUUGGCUCGCCCCCUUCCUAGACCUUCAAAGUCAGCAAUGACAGGUUGAGUCGUUCACACAUGUGGCAUCUUUCUCAACUUGGUAUUUGCUUUUUAAUCUUUUUUUAUGAUCUUUCCAAGGCACAGACAUAUCCAACACCAAAUUCAAAUGAAAGACAUCAAGCAAUAUGCACCGUGCUCCUGUAAGAUAAAGCUUUAUCAUGUUCAGCACCCUUUUGUCUUAGAAGAGAUCUUCUCCUUGGACGCUAUGUACUGUGAGAUUUAAGUAGUUGUGGACUUAACGGACUCAGCAAUUUCCCAGAUGUAUCCACUAAAUAACGUACUCAGACACAUCUUAAUCUCUAACUGACAAUUUCUUCUCUUGACCAUGAAAAUGAAAAGUACCAAAACAGGCAAGCAGAUCAAGGCUGAGGUCUGUUUAGAGGAAGGAGAGACAGUACCUGUUUGGAAGAUUCAGUCAAGGAUUCUUGGAAAUGUUGUUUGCAUUCUGGCUGACCUGAAAGAAGAAUUAUAAUAAAUCAGGGAUAAUAGAAACAUCUGCUAGGGUUGAGGCAGCAUCACAAUACCCAUCACAGAGUCAAGAAAUAAUAGGGCACAUGUGGAAAAAAGCAAACAGUGCUAUUUGCCAAGAAAAUAGAGAUAUGUCGGCCGGGCGUGGAGGCUCACGCCUGUAAUCCCAGCACUUUGGGAGGCCGAGGCAGGUGGAUCACAAGGUCAGGAGAUCGAGACCAUCCUGGUUUCAACACAGUGAAACCCUGUCUUUACUAAAAACACAAAAAAUUAGCCAGGUCUGGUGGCAGGCGCGUGUAGUCCCAGCUACUCGGGAGGCUGAGGCAGGAGAAUGGCGUGAACCCGGGAGGCAGAGCUUGCAGUGAGCGGAGAUCGCACCACUGCACUGCAGCCUGGCUGCAGAGAGACUUCAUCUCAAAAAAAAAAAAAAAAAAAAAAAAAAGAAGAAAAGAAAAGAAAAUGGAGAUAGGUCAGAAAUAAUGACAGUCAUUUGGAAAAGGUAAGUAGUGGCCACUAUACUAAGGAAGAUUUUAUAAAUGAAUUUAACUUUGCUCC